YUKYWKRRKKCGCCCUUAGGAAGCACCGGCUAACUCCGUGCCAGCAGCCGCGGUAAUACGGAGGGUGCGAGCGUUGUUCGGAUUUAUUGGGCGUAAAGCGCGUGUAGGCGGUUUUUUAAGUCUGAUGUGAAAGCCCCGGGCUCAACCUGGGAAGUGCAUUGGAUACUGGGAGACUUGAUACGGGAGAGGUAGUGGAAUUCUAGUGUAGAGUGAAUCCUAGAUAUUAGAGGAACACGGUGGCGAAGCGGUACUGACGAUAUUGACGUGAACGCGAAGCUGGAGCAACAGAUAAUACUGUAUCACGCGAACAUGAGAUAGUGUGCGGUAAGGGGAUUCACCCUGCGGCGUAUAKGAUCGAGUCGUACAGUGCUAUCUGUCUAUGUUCU
RNAcentral lists this ribosomal RNA (386 nucleotides) under uncultured Geobacteraceae bacterium. RNAcentral describes it as "partial 16S ribosomal RNA". It matches the Rfam family "Bacterial small subunit ribosomal RNA", at positions 468 to 832 of the family's 1533-position model. Lineage: Bacteria; Pseudomonadati; Thermodesulfobacteriota; Desulfuromonadia; Geobacterales; Geobacteraceae. The record is from RNAcentral.